UCUACUUGGCUGCAUAAAUGCCCAGAAGA
This 29-nucleotide non-coding RNA is filed under the name Rattus norvegicus (Norway rat). The record is from RNAcentral. Lineage: Eukaryota; Metazoa; Chordata; Mammalia; Rodentia; Muridae.